CCUGCGGAGGAGGCCCGGAGCACGUGGGUUGGGGACCUGCGGAUCCCUGCCUGUCCUCGGCCUACCGCGACCAGCAGGCACUCUGGGUCAGACCGGUGCGGGGCGCUGCGGCCCAGUUCCCUAGUAGGAGGACGUGACUCGAGGAACCCGAGGACGGAGCGGGGAGUCCGGGCCAGAGGGUGGGGACUAGGGAGGUUGCCUGGUCACUCUGGCGCUCCGCUGCGGGGCAUCCUCCGGCCCAGCAAAGGUGCAGUCUGGGAAGAAGGCGUCAGCAUCACCCAAAGGAGAGGGUACUUGGAACGCCUCAGGAAGAAAAAAAGGAAGGCUCUCAGGACCACCCAAUAAGCAACCGGGAAACCACGUACCAUGGACAGUGCUCGGGGAAUUUCGUAAGGGCUCCUCCUUACUCCUGGGGAUUCCAGGGAUCUGGCAGAGAAAGAAGCGCAGAUUCACCAGCAAUGGCUCCUGAACAUCCUUUGCAAAUACUACUUAGGACAGAUGGACUGAAGAGGGAAGGUGGAACUAAGGAUCCUGAAUCCAUUUGGAGGCAGAGAGGGGCCAACAGGGUGUCUGAAGGGAGCAAACGCAUCGAAGUUUUGGGAGCACCUCGAAGUGGGGCAGUGAAUGCAGAAGAGUGGGAGCAUACACACGUUUCUCCUCCUCGACCCAGAAUGAGACAGCCUUCAGAGAGCUCUUGCUAGCUCCUCACUCUAGCCUGGGUGAAGGGGGCACCUGUGCCAAAGCAGGCAGGCACACAGGCAGAUUGGAAGGAAUUUCUGUCUGCAGUGUUACAUGCCUGAGGGAUCCCGCCCUCAACCCUCUCCGUCUCUCAUGGUGCUCUCAUCCACCCCCUGCUGCAGCUCCUGCCUCUGUGCUGACAGCUCUGUCAGUCCAGCCCAGACCUCCCCUGGCAGUUCCAGACCAGCUGAUCCCACUGCCUCCUGACAGCCACUCUGGAUGUCCCACCAUUCCUCAGACUUGGCACGCUUUCCAAAUCCACACCCCCAUCUCAUUUCCAAGGAAGAACAAUCAGAGAGGCUUCCCCAGUACAAAUGCAUAGGACGUGGGAAACAAGGUUUCAAAGGAUAUCCCAGAAAAGCUCAAGGAUAGCACUGGCCUUUUGGAGGUGGCUUGGGGUGGUGUGGGAGGCAGGGUCAGCACUAACUUUUCCUUUCUCCCCUACGAUGGUGUGGACUUUUUAGCUUCCUGUCCUUUUCAUACCAUUUGCCAAAUUGAAUUUAAAUAAUUAUCACUGUAAUUGCUUAUUUUUUGUCUGUCUUUCCCAGUUUAAGCUUCUCAAGGGCAGGGAUCUGUCCAUUUUGCUUCUGUAUCCUUGGCAUCUGUCAUAUAAUCAGUAUCAGACAUAUAACAGGUGCUUAAUAAAUAUUUGUUUGAAUUAA
Non-coding RNA from Saimiri boliviensis boliviensis (Bolivian squirrel monkey), 1400 nucleotides. The record is from RefSeq and is a predicted model, not a curated record. NCBI's taxonomy places the organism in Eukaryota, Metazoa, Chordata, Mammalia, Primates, Cebidae.